AGUCGAACGAUGAACCACUUCGGUGGGGAUUAGUGGCGAACGGGUGAGUAACACGUGGGCAAUCUGCCCUUCACUCUGGGACAAGCCCUGGAAACGGGGUCUAAUACCGGAUAACACUUCCACUCUCCUGAGUGGUGGUUAAAAGCUCCGGCGGUGAAGGAUGAGCCCGCGGCCUAUCAGCUUGUUGGUGAGGUAAUGGCUCACCAAGGCGACGACGGGUAGCCGGCCUGAGAGGGCGACCGGCCACACUGGGACUGAGACACGGCCCAGACUCCUACGGGAGGCAGCAGUGGGGAAUAUUGCACAAUGGGCGAAAGCCUGAUGCAGCGACGCCGCGUGAGGGAUGACGGCCUUCGGGUUGUAAACCUCUUUCAGCAGGGAAGAAGCGAAAGUGACGGUACCUGCAGAAGAAGCGCCGGCUAACUACGUGCCAGCAGCCGCGGUAAUACGUAGGGCGCAAGCGUUGUCCGGAAUUAUUGGGCGUAAAGAGCUCGUAGGCGGCUUGUCACGUCGGGUGUGAAAGCCCGGGGCUUAACCCCGGGUCUGCAUUCGAUACGGGCUAGCUAGAGUGUGGUAGGGGAGAUCGGAAUUCCUGGUGUAGCGGUGAAAUGCGCAGAUAUCAGGAGGAACACCGGUGGCGAAGGCGGAUCUCUGGGCCAUUACUGACGCUGAGGAGCGAAAGCGUGGGGAGCGAACAGGAUUAGAUACCCUGGUAGUCCACGCCGUAAACGGUGGGAACUAGGUGUUGGCGACAUUCCACGUCGUCGGUGCCGCAGCUAACGCAUUAAGUUCCCCGCCUGGGGAGUACGGCCGCAAGGCUAAAACUCAAA
This 830-nucleotide ribosomal RNA is filed under the name Streptomyces sp. RNAcentral describes it as "bacterial SSU rRNA". It matches the Rfam family "Bacterial small subunit ribosomal RNA", at positions 60 to 905 of the family's 1533-position model. Lineage: Bacteria; Bacillati; Actinomycetota; Actinomycetes; Kitasatosporales; Streptomycetaceae. The record is from RNAcentral.